This is a long non-coding RNA of Agrilus planipennis (emerald ash borer), 308 nucleotides long. RefSeq lists it as uncharacterized. The transcript is spliced from 2 exons. NCBI's taxonomy places the organism in Eukaryota, Metazoa, Arthropoda, Insecta, Coleoptera, Buprestidae. The record is from RefSeq and is a predicted model, not a curated record.
UUAAAAAGUUUUAUUUCUACUAUUGAAUCCGUAGGAUGAAGGAUUUAUUACCGAGAUUCAUCAUGUAACUGAAGAAGGAGAAGAUGCUGGUGUUGUGUACUGUGAAAUGCAGGGAAUAGAGAAUUCUGGAGAGAGGAGAGUACAUUUAGCAAUGAGAAAAGCAAUUUAUCCAGAAAACUGUGGAUAUAGUGCAGAAACAGGAGGUAAAAUGAAAAAUUUGCGGGAAUCUAUCACAAAUGCAAAAAUCAAGGCAUUCCAUAAAAACUUUUACCGACCAGAAAAUUUAAAAAUAAUAAUUGCUGGUAAAA